UUUUUUUAAAAUAUACUGCAGUGCCAACAAAGAAUGUGCAAUGACAAGAAAUGAGUUAUUGUUUGAAAAUCAAAAAUGUUAAAUGUUCACAUUGUUUUUAUUUGAACAGCAAUUUUCAGAUCUCAGGACAAGUUUUCUUUGGAACACAUUAUAAAUUUUUGUUUUUCAAAUGAUUUCAACUGACAUAAACAAGACUGGAAAGGUCGAAAUUACCAAAAUGCUAAUUUCACUAUUAUUGGUUCUUUUGUCGUGCCCAGCUCUUAAUGAUGGAAAACCCUGUAUCACAGUAACAUUCCUUUAAAUGAACUGGAGAAGUCUUGAUUACAAUAAUCAUAUUGCUUUUUACUUUUCAACACUAUUGGAUCUUGUGUCAUACCAGCUUUAGAUGGUGGAUGGAGUAUAUGGAGGUGUUAAGAAUUGCACAAGAGGUGUUCCUGCUACCUCUCUAUAUGUAGACAAUGUCACUGUUGUUGUGACGUUCUCAUUUCUAAGCCUUAAUUUAUGUCCGUUACAACGCCCUUAGGGAGAAAAACUACACCCUCAAAUGGACUGUAGAAGUCCAGAUUACAAUAAUGGUACUUUCAGCACCAUUGCACGGUUUGGUUGUCUUGCCCAGCUCUUAAUGGUCCAAAAUGCUGUACAAUGGAUUAUGUUUUAAAAAUUGAAGAUAAAAGAUUAAGUUUUGAAUAUCUUCUUUUUUUCUCUGAAGAUGGCAAAUCAAAUUAUUAAUUCACGAGCUCUAGAUAAUAAAAAUAUCAGGUGUUAAAGUUUGGAGGUAUAAACAAGUCAUUCUCAAUCAAAAUAUUGCAAAAUUGUAAUGUUAGCGGAUUUUCUCAUUGUUGAAGCCCAUACAGUAACCUAUUUUACAUUAACAUCAUUUGGUCUCUGUAGGAUAGUUGUCUCACAUCUCUUGAUAUCACAACAAAUCAAUUUGUAGGUUCUAUAAAGUGGGCCAAUGGUGAAGGUAGGGGAAAUUUUGACUGUCAAUCGAGGAGGAAAUUAUUGGACAGAAAUUUGGCCUAACGCAACAAGCCAAGUCCUACUAACACCUCAAAAGAGUUGUGACAAGGGUUCUUCAACGUGCAGAGUUGCACUGUCCCUACAGAAAGGACCUAUACUUUUUAAACUGCCAUUCCAAUUUUUUUUGUUUUAAAUAUGAGAACUUUAGAAGACUUAAAGGUGGGGGUCAUAAAAAUAUCAAAAUUAUCCCACCCUCAAUGUUUAUUAUCUAGAACUAUGUUUUCUAUUUUGCUUUCAUAUUAUUUUUUGGUAUUUUCUUUUUUAUAUUUUUUUUUCUUUUUUUUUUUACAAAGCUCUAGAUAAUAAAAAUAUCAGAUGUUAAAGUUUGGAGGUAUAAACAAGUCAUUCUAAAUCAGAAUAUUGCAAAAUUUUAAUGUUAGUGGAUUUUCUCAUUGUUGAAGCCCAUACAGUAACCUAUUUUACAUUAACAUCAUUUGGUCUCUGUAGGAUAGUUGUCUCACAUCUCUUGAUAUCACAACAAAUCAAUUUGUAGGUUCUAUAAAGUGGUCCAAUCCUAUGGUGAAGGGAGGGGGAAUUUUGACUGCCAACCGAAGAGGAUAUUUUUGGACAGAAAUUUAGCCUAUUAAUGCAACAAGCCACAUCCUACUGACACCUCAAAAGAGUUGUGACAAGGGUUCUUUAACGUGCAGAGUGGCACUGUCUGUCCCUACAAAUAGGACCUAUACUUUCCCGCUACCUCUAUGUGUAGACAACAUCACUGUUGUGACAUUCUUAUUUCUAAGCCUUAAUUUAUGUCCGUUACAACGCCCUUAGGGAGGAAAUAGUAGCAGAUAGUAGCAGAUAUUACUACACCCUCAAAUGGAUUGUAGAAGUCCAGUUUACAAUAAUGGUACUUUCAGCACCAUAACCUGCUUUGGUUGUCUUGUCCAGCUCUCAAUGGUCCAAAAUGCUGUACAAUGGAUUAUGAUUUAAAAAUUGAAGAUAAAAGAUUAAGUUUUGAAUAUAUCUACUUUUUUUCUUUGAAGAUGGCAAAUCAAAUUAUUAAUUCAUUAAAAAUUCAGAAUAACUCAAAUCUUUACACCACACAAACGCGACAACAAAGAAUGUGCAAUGAAAAGAAUUGAGUUAUUGUUUGAAACAUCAAAAAUGUUAAAGUUUCACGCAUUGUUUUUUAUUUGAACAGCAAUUUUCAGAUCUCAGGACAAGUUUUCUUUGGAACACACUCAGGACAAGUUAUCUUUGGAAGACAUUAUAAAUUUCUGUUUUGCAAAAGAUUAAAAGUUUUGGAUACUUUCUUUUUUUCUUUGAAGAUAACAAAUCUAAUUAUUAAUUCAUUAAAAAUUCAGACUAACCCAAUUGUUUACACCACACAAACUUUCCGGAGGUAACAUAUUUAUUUUUUGUCCAUUCUUUUUUCUUUCUUUUUUUCUUUUUUUUAAAAUAUACUGCAGUGCCAACAAAGAAUGUGCAAUGACAAGAAAUGAGUUAUUGUUUGAAAAUCAAAAAUGUUAAAUGUUCACAUUGUUUUUAUUUGAACAGCAAUUUUCAGAUCUCAGGACAAGUUUUCUUUGGAACACAUUAUAAAUUUUUGUUUUUCAAAUGAUUUCAACUGACAUAAACAAGACUGGAAAGGUCGAAAUUACCAAAAUGCUAAUUUCACUAUUAUUGGUUCUUUUGUCGUGCCCAGCUCUUAAUGAUGGAAAACCCUGUAUCACAGUAACAUUCCUUUAAAUGAACUGGAGAAGUCUUGAUUACAAUAAUCAUAUUGCUUUUUACUUUUCAACACUAUUGGAUCUUGUGUCAUACCAGCUUUAGAUGGUGGAUGGAGUAUAUGGAGGUGUUAAGAAUUGCACAAGAGGUGUUCCUGCUACCUCUCUAUAUGUAGACAAUGUCACUGUUGUUGUGACGUUCUCAUUUCUAAGCCUUAAUUUAUGUCCGUUACAACGCCCUUAGGGAGAAAAACUACACCCUCAAAUGGACUGUAGAAGUCCAGAUUACAAUAAUGGUACUUUCAGCACCAUUGCACGGUUUGGUUGUCUUGCCCAGCUCUUAAUGGUCCAAAAUGCUGUACAAUGGAUUAUGUUUUAAAAAUUGAAGAUAAAAGAUUAAGUUUUGAAUAUCUUCUUUUUUUCUCUGAAGAUGGCAAAUCAAAUUAUUAAUUCACGAGCUCUAGAUAAUAAAAAUAUCAGGUGUUAAAGUUUGGAGGUAUAAACAAGUCAUUCUCAAUCAAAAUAUUGCAAAAUUGUAAUGUUAGUGGAUUUUCUCAUUGUUGAAGCCCAUACAGUAACCUAUUUUACAUUAACAUCAUUUGGUCUCUGUAGGAUAGUUGUCUCACAUCUCUUGAUAUCACAACAAAUCAAUUUGUAGGUUCUAUAAAGUGGGCCAAUGGUGAAGGUAGGGGAAAUUUUGACUGUCAAUCGAGGAGGAAAUUAUUGGACAGAAAUUUGGCCUAACGCAACAAGCCAAGUCCUACUAACACCUCAAAAGAGUUGUGACAAGGGUUCUUCAACGUGCAGAGUUGCACUGUCCCUACAGAAAGGACCUAUACUUUUUAAACUGCCAUUCCAAUUUUUUUUGUUUUAAAUAUGAGAACUUUAGAAGACUUAAAGGUGGGGGUCAUAAAAAUAUCAAAAUUAUCCCACCCUCAAUGUUUAUUAUCUAGAACUAUGUUUUCUAUUUUGCUUUCAUAUUAUUUUUUGGUAUUUUCUUUUUUAUAUUUUUUUUUCUUUUUUUUUUUACAAAGCUCUAGAUAAUAAAAAUAUCAGAUGUUAAAGUUUGGAGGUAUAAACAAGUCAUUCUAAAUCAGAAUAUUGCAAAAUUUUAAUGUUAGUGGAUUUUCUCAUUGUUGAAGCCCAUACAGUAACCUAUUUUACAUUAACAUCAUUUGGUCUCUGUAGGAUAGUUGUCUCACAUCUCUUGAUAUCACAACAAAUCAAUUUGUAGGUUCUAUAAAGUGGUCCAAUCCUAUGGUGAAGGGAGGGGGAAUUUUGACUGCCAACCGAAGAGGAUAUUUUUGGACAGAAAUUUAGCCUAUUAAUGCAACAAGCCACAUCCUACUGACACCUCAAAAGAGUUGUGACAAGGGUUCUUUAACGUGCAGAGUGGCACUGUCUGUCCCUACAAAUAGGACCUAUACUUUCCCGCUACCUCUAUGUGUAGACAACAUCACUGUUGUGACAUUCUUAUUUCUAAGCCUUAAUUUAUGUCCGUUACAACGCCCUUAGGGAGGAAAUAGUAGCAGAUAGUAGCAGAUAUUACUACACCCUCAAAUGGAUUGUAGAAGUCCAGUUUACAAUAAUGGUACUUUCAGCACCAUAACCUGCUUUGGUUGUCUUGUCCAGCUCUCAAUGGUCCAAAAUGCUGUACAAUGGAUUAUGAUUUAAAAAUUGAAGAUAAAAGAUUAAGUUUUGAAUAUAUCUACUUUUUUUCUUUGAAGAUGGCAAAUCAAAUUAUUAAUUCAUUAAAAAUUCAGAAUAACUCAAAUCUUUACACCACACAAACGCGACAACAAAGAAUGUGCAAUGAAAAGAAUUGAGUUAUUGUUUGAAACAUCAAAAAUGUUAAAGUUUCACGCAUUGUUUUUUAUUUGAACAGCAAUUUUCAGAUCUCAGGACAAGUUUUCUUUGGAACACACUCAGGACAAGUUAUCUUUGGAAGACAUUAUAAAUUUCUGUUUUGCAAAAGAUUAAAAGUUUUGGAUACUUUCUUUUUUUCUUUGAAGAUAACAAAUCUAAUUAUUAAUUCAUUAAAAAUUCAGACUAACCCAAUUGUUUACACCACACAAACUUUCCGGAGGUAACAUAUUUAUUUUUUGUCCAUUCUUUUUUCUUUCUUUUUUUCUUUUUUUUAAAAUAUACUGCAGUGCCAACAAAGAAUGUGCAAUGACAAGAAAUGAGUUAUUGUUUGAAAAUCAAAAAUGUUAAAUGUUCACAUUGUUUUUAUUUGAACAGCAAUUUUCAGAUCUCAGGACAAGUUUUCUUUGGAACACAUUAUAAAUUUUUGUUUUUCAAAUGAUUUCAACUGACAUAAACAAGACUGGAAAGGUCGAAAUUACCAAAAUGCUAAUUUCACUAUUAUUGGUUCUUUUGUCGUGCCCAGCUCUUAAUGAUGGAAAACCCUGUAUCACAGUAACAUUCCUUUAAAUGAACUGGAGAAGUCUUGAUUACAAUAAUCAUAUUGCUUUUUACUUUUCAACACUAUUGGAUCUUGUGUCAUACCAGCUUUAGAUGGUGGAUGGAGUAUAUGGAGGUGUUAAGAAUUGCACAAGAGGUGUUCCUGCUACCUCUCUAUAUGUAGACAAUGUCACUGUUGUUGUGACGUUCUUAUUUCUAAGCCUUAAUUUAUGUCCGUUACAACGCCCUUAGGGAGGAAAAACUACACCCUCAAAUGGACUGUAGAAGUCCAGAUUACAAUAAUGGUACUUUCAGCACCAUUGCACGGUUUGGUUGUCUUGCCCAGCUCUUAAUGGUCCAAAAUGCUGUACAAUGGAUUAUGUUUUAAAAAUUGAAGAUAAAAGAUUAAGUUUUGAAUAUCUUCUUUUUUUCUCUGAAGAUGGCAAAUCAAAUUAUUAAUUCACGAGCUCUAGAUAAUAAAAAUAUCAGGUGUUAAAGUUUGGAGGUAUAAACAAGUCAUUCUCAAUCAAAAUAUUGCAAAAUUGUAAUGUUAGUGGAUUUUCUCAUUGUUGAAGCCCAUACAGUAACCUAUUUUACAUUAACAUCAUUUGGUCUCUGUAGGAUAGUUGUCUCACAUCUCUUGAUAUCACAACAAAUCAAUUUGUAGGUUCUAUAAAGUGGGCCAAUGGUGAAGGUAGGGGAAAUUUUGACUGUCAAUCGAGGAGGAAAUUAUUGGACAGAAAUUUGGCCUAACGCAACAAGCCAAGUCCUACUAACACCUCAAAAGAGUUGUGACAAGGGUUCUUCAACGUGCAGAGUUGCACUGUCCCUACAGAAAGGACCUAUACUUUUUAAACUGCCAUUCCAAUUUUUUUUGUUUUAAAUAUGAGAACUUUAGAAGACUUAAAGGUGGGGGUCAUAAAAAUAUCAAAAUUAUCCCACCCUCAAUGUUUAUUAUCUAGAACUAUGUUUUCUAUUUUGCUUUCAUAUUAUUUUUUGGUAUUUUCUUUUUUAUAUUUUUUUUUCUUUUUUUUUUUACAAAGCUCUAGAUAAUAAAAAUAUCAGAUGUUAAAGUUUGGAGGUAUAAACAAGUCAUUCUAAAUCAGAAUAUUGCAAAAUUUUAAUGUUAGUGGAUUUUCUCAUUGUUGAAGCCCAUACAGUAACCUAUUUUACAUUAACAUCAUUUGGUCUCUGUAGGAUAGUUGUCUCACAUCUCUUGAUAUCACAACAAAUCAAUUUGUAGGUUCUAUAAAGUGGUCCAAUCCUAUGGUGAAGGGAGGGGGAAUUUUGACUGCCAACCGAAGAGGAUAUUUUUGGACAGAAAUUUAGCCUAUUAAUGCAACAAGCCACAUCCUACUGACACCUCAAAAGAGUUGUGACAAGGGUUCUUUAACGUGCAGAGUGGCACUGUCUGUCCCUACAAAUAGGACCUAUACUUUCCCGCUACCUCUAUGUGUAGACAACAUCACUGUUGUGACAUUCUUAUUUCUAAGCCUUAAUUUAUGUCCGUUACAACGCCCUUAGGGAGGAAAUAGUAGCAGAUAUUACUACACCCUCAAAUGGAUUGUAGAAGUCCAGUUUACAAUAAUGGUACUUUCAGCACCAUAACCCGCUUUGGUUGUCUUGUCCAGCUCUUAAUGGUCCAAAAUGCUGUACAAUGGAUUAUGAUUUAAAAAUUGAAGAUAAAAGAUUAAGUUUUGAAUAUAUCUACUUUUUUUCUUUGAAGAUGGCAAAUCAAAUUAUUAAUUCAUUAAAAAUUCAGAAUAACUCAAAUCUUUACACCACACAAACGCGCCAACAAAGAAUGUGCAAUGAAAAGAAUUGAGUUAUUGUUUGAAACAUCAAAAAUGUUAAAGUUUCACGCAUUGUUUUUUAUUUGAACAGCAAUUUUCAGAUCUCAGGACAAGUUUUCUUUGGAACACACUCAGGACAAGUUAUCUUUGGAAGACAUUAUAAAUUUCUGUUUUGCAAAAGAUUAAAAGUUUUGGAUACUUUCUUUUUUUCUUUGAAGAUAACAAAUCUAAUUAUUAAUUCAUUAAAAAUUCAGACUAACCCAAUUGUUUACACCACACAAACUUUCCGGAUAACAUAUUUAUUUUUUGUCCAUUCUUUUUUCUUUCUUUUUUUAAAAUAUACUGCAGUGCCAACAAAGAAUGUGCAAUGACAAGAAAUGAGUUAUUGUUUGAAAAUCAAAAAUGUUAAAUGUUCACAUUGUUUUUAUUUGAACAGCAAUUUUCAGAUCUCAGGACAAGUUUUCUUUGGAACACAUUAUAAAUUUUUGUUUUUCAAAUGAUUUCAACUGACAUAAACAAGACUGGAAAGGUCGAAAUUACCAAAAUGCUAAUUUCACUAUUAUUGGUUCUUUUGUCGUGCCCAGCUCUUAAUGAUGGAAAACCCUGUAUCACAGUAACAUUCCUUUAAAUGAACUGGAGAAGUCUUGAUUACAAUAAUCAUAUUGCUUUUUACUUUUCAACACUAUUGGAUCUUGUGUCAUACCAGCUUUAGAUGGUGGAUGGAGUAUAUGGAGGUGUUAAGAAUUGCACAAGAGGUGUUCCUGCUACCUCUCUAUAUGUAGACAACGUCACUGUUGUUGUGACGUUCUUAUUUCUAAGCCUUAAUUUAUGUCCGUUACAACGCCCUUAGGGAGGAAAACUACACCCUCAAAUGGACUGUAGAAGUCCAGAUUACAAUAAUGGUACUUUCAGCACCAUUGCACGGUUUGGUUGUCUUGCCCAGCUCUUAAUGGUCCAAAAUGCUGUACAAUGGAUUAUGUUUUAAAAAUUGAAGAUAAAAGAUUAAGUUUUGAAUAUCUUCUUUUUUUCUCUGAAGAUGGCAAAUCAAAUUAUUAAUUCACGAGCUCUAGAUAAUAAAAAUAUC
This 7970-nucleotide long non-coding RNA is filed under the name Mytilus galloprovincialis (Mediterranean mussel). Lineage: Eukaryota; Metazoa; Mollusca; Bivalvia; Mytilida; Mytilidae. The record is from RNAcentral.